UACGGGAGGCAGCAGUAGGGGAAUCUUCCGCAAUGGGACGAAAGUCUGACGGAGCAACGCCGCGUGAACGAUGAAGGCUUUCGGGUCGUAAGUUCUGUUGUUAGGGAGAACAAGUACCAGAGUAACUGCUGGUACCUUGACGGUACCUAACCAGAAAGCCACGGCUAACUACGUGCCAGCAGCCGCGGUAAUACGUAGGUGGCAAGCGUUGUCCGGAAUUAUUGGGCGUAAAGCGCGCGCAGGUGGUCCUUUUAAGUCUGAUGUGAAAGCCCACGGCUCAACCGUGGAGGGUCAUUGGAAACUGGGGGACUUGAGUGCAGAAGAGGAAAGUGGAAUUCCACGUGUAGCGGUGAAAUGCGUAGAGAUGUGGAGGAACACCAGUGGCGAAGGCGACUUUUCUGGUCUGUAACUGACACUGAGGCGCGAAAGCGUGGGGAGCGAACAGGGAUUAGAUACC
RNAcentral lists this ribosomal RNA (457 nucleotides) under uncultured bacterium. RNAcentral's name for it is "bacterial SSU rRNA". It matches the Rfam family "Bacterial small subunit ribosomal RNA", at positions 340 to 786 of the family's 1533-position model. The record is from RNAcentral.